RNAcentral lists this ribosomal RNA (553 nucleotides) under uncultured archaeon. Its description in RNAcentral is "bacterial SSU rRNA". It matches the Rfam family "Archaeal small subunit ribosomal RNA", at positions 326 to 879 of the family's 1478-position model. The record is from RNAcentral.
CGGGGUGCAGCAGGCGCGAAAACUUUACAAUGCCGGCAACGGCGAUAAGGGGACCUCGAGUGCCAGGUUACAAAUCUGGCUGUCGUGAUGCCUAAAAAGCAUUGCAUAGCAAGGGCCGGGCAAGACCGGUGCCAGCCGCCGCGGUAACACCGGCGGCUCGAGUGGCAACCGUUAUUAUUGGGUCUAAAGGGUCUGUAGCCGGCCGGAUAAGUCUCUUGGGAAAUCCAGCAGCUCAACUGUUGGGCUUUCAGGAGAUACUGUCUGGCUCGAGGCCGGGAGAGGUGAGAGGUACUUCAGGGGUAGGGGUGAAAUCUUGUAAUCCUUGAAGGACCACCAGUGGCGAAGGCGUCUCACCAGAACGGACCUGACGGCAAGGGACGAAAGCUAGGGGCACGAACCGGAUUAGAUACCCGGGUAGUCCUAGCCGUAAACGAUACUCGCUAGGUGUCGGCCACGGUGCGACCGUUGUCGGUGCCGUAGGGAAGCCGUGAAGCGAGCCACCUGGGAAGUACGGCCGCAAGGCUGAAACUUAAAGGAAUUGGCGGGGGAGCAC